GCUGGGUGGAGUGGUGCACACCUGUAAUCCCAGUGGCUUGGAAGGCUGAGGCGGGAGGAUCGCGAGUUCAAAGCCAGCCUCAGCAACAGUGAUGCACUAAGCAACUCAGUGAGACCCUGUCUCUA
This 125-nucleotide small RNA is filed under the name Marmota monax (woodchuck). Lineage: Eukaryota; Metazoa; Chordata; Mammalia; Rodentia; Sciuridae. The record is from RNAcentral.